Oreochromis aureus is the source of this 633-nucleotide long non-coding RNA. RefSeq lists it as uncharacterized. Lineage: Eukaryota; Metazoa; Chordata; Actinopteri; Cichliformes; Cichlidae. The transcript is spliced from 4 exons. The record is from RefSeq and is a predicted model, not a curated record.
CUUUUGGAGCCUGGGUUUGGAACAAUCCAUGGAAUCUACUAUUGGGAAUGCUUUUCUGAAGAUUGUGGGGGAAGCUGCACAAAGACGGAAAAGAUUUUCACAUUGCUGACCUCUACGUCAUGGCCACCUGGAAGGAUCCACAAGUCAACCUGCUGCGUUGCUUGCCAGUGUUUGCACAUGGAGAAGGUUCUCAGAAAAGUACAGAGAACAGUAUUUUAACAUGUACACAAUUAAGAUCUGUCAUCAAUGUGGAGAUCAAUACAAACACUUGCCCCGAGGUAUGCAACACUGUAUAAUCUUAUAUUGCGGUAUCGGUAUAUAUACAGACAAUGAGAUUUUUGUCUGUAAUGAGAUCUGUAAGGAUGAAAACCAUACCGCUUGGAGCCCAUUCUCCUCCCUGUUUGAAUUUUUAAAUUUUUUUUGUUGUAUUACAGGAUAUGUUGGCACAGGUAAAAGAGGACAACUAAGGGCAUUUUACUCAGAGGAGAUGUGCCCAGGCUACUGUAGCCACUUCUGCAGUCAAAUGAACAAUUAAUAUGUCUGCACUGUUCACCUAUAUACACACGUACACACACACUGGUUUUAGUGACCAAGUUCCUCAUUAGUGAUUCCCCACAUCUUGGGCCCUUUCUC